CAGGUUAAUUUUUAGUUAAAAAUUUCAUUUACAUUGAUAAUUAUAUCGUUCAAUUCGGUAUAACUUGU
RNAcentral lists this transfer RNA (68 nucleotides) under Cryptocercus wolongensis. Its description in RNAcentral is "tRNA-Val". Lineage: Eukaryota; Metazoa; Arthropoda; Insecta; Blattodea; Cryptocercidae. The record is from RNAcentral.